Molecule: ribosomal RNA, 133 nt
Filed under: uncultured bacterium
Lineage: Bacteria
Description: partial 16S ribosomal RNA
Source: RNAcentral
UGAUGGUACCGUCAAACUAUACAAGUAUUAUUCAUAUAGCACUUCUUUCCAUCUGACAGGAUUUACGACCAAGGCCUUCAUCAUCCACGCGGCGUCGCUGCGUCAGGGUUGCCCCCAUUGCGCAAUAUUCCUC